AAAAAUCAAACACCUUCAAUUUUCAAUUCUAUUGCCACUAAUAAUUUAUCCGCUCCGAUAAUUAACUUGAAAAAAAGAACAAGUUCAAUUUAUUAAAAAAUAAUAAUAAUAAUAAUAAGAGGAAGCAAUAUCGUGUAUGUAUAACCUGGAAAGGGAGAGAGAAGAGUUGAGAGCUUGAGAUAAGAUUUUCAGGUGAGGGAGAGAGAAGAAAGAGUAGAUGACCAGAAAAAAAAAAAAAUUCGUGUACAGAAAAAAGUGUUAUUCCGCACGCAUGAGAUUCCAGAGGGUCCAUUACAUCCACCAACAGAGGAGAGGGUCCAUCCUCCACCAACUGCUAUCAUCUCUGGGCCGACAACACGUACUCCACCUUCUCGACCCUAUCAUUAAGAAAGGCCUUGACGGCUGGAGGGCUCGGAGCUUUCUUCGAUGGAGCUUCAACCUCCUUUCCUGAAAGCUCUUGCAGGAAUUCUGAAACCAGUCUUUAGGUAUAUAUAUAUAUUUUUUUUGUUUCUUAAUUUAUUUCAUAAUUGGUUUGGAAGAACGGCGAAAAUCUGUAUACCAAAGUGUUGUGCUUGUUAUUAGUAUUACUAUCAACUGGAGUUUGUUUUGCGUGUUUUUACAAUUUAUUUUUAAAAUUUAUUCCACCGAACAUGCACUUAAAUUAUAGAAGUAAAAAUAAAAAUAGGAACCAUGCAUCAAUACCGAACGGGCCCUACUGUAUAUGAACAACUUUACUUCAAAUUGAUCAAUUUCAGCGCAAAAGCAAGGCAUUGAAAAUGAUGCGAAUAAAUGAAAAAUAAAAAUUAAAAAAUGGGUUCUCAUCUGGUUGUCUUUUUUUUUUUUUUUUCCGUAUAAAUGCCACCAACCAUCUUACGGAUUUUUUUAUGUUCACAACUUUUUUGCAAUAUUUCUUCCACACUAGGGGUGAGAAUUUGAUCUGACUCUAAUUUUUAAUCUGAUUGACCCGAUCUUAAUUUUUUGAGUUUCAGGUCGGGCUUAAGUCGACCCAACCCGACUCAACCCUAUAUUAAAAAAAUAAAAUAAAAUGGUUGUGAUCCUUGUGAAAUUGAAUUGUGUGUGGAAUAAAUGAUUGUAGAAUUGAAUCAUGUGUUUUAAAUUUAAUUGUAUUGUGU
This 1133-nucleotide long non-coding RNA is filed under the name Citrus maxima (pomelo). RNAcentral's name for it is "long non-coding RNA (CMAX_LNC001775)". The record is from RNAcentral. Lineage: Eukaryota; Viridiplantae; Streptophyta; Magnoliopsida; Sapindales; Rutaceae.